CCAGACUCCUACGGGAGGCAGCAGUGAGGAAUAUUGGUCAAUGGUCGGGAGACUGAACCAGCCAAGCCGCGUGAGGGAGGAAGGUACAGAGUAUCGUAAACCUCUUUUGUCAGGGAACAAAGACUGGGACGCGUCCCCGGAUGAGUGUACCUGAAGAAAAAGCAUCGGCUAACUCCGUGCCAGCAGCCGCGGUAAUACGGAGGAUGCGAGCGUUAUCCGGAUUUAUUGGGUUUAAAGGGUGCGCAGACGGUUAAUUAAGGCAGAGGGAAAAGCCCGGGGCCCACCCCCGGGACCGCCGUUGAAACUGGCAGUCUCGAGUUGGAGAGAAGUAUGCGGAAUGCGCGGUGUAGCGGUGAAAUGCAUAGAUAUCGCGCAGAACUCCGAUUGCGAAGGCAGCAUGCCGGCUCCACACUGACGCUGAGGCACGAAAGCGUGGGUAUCGAACAGGAUUAGAUACCCUUGUA
This 464-nucleotide ribosomal RNA is filed under the name uncultured bacterium. Its description in RNAcentral is "bacterial SSU rRNA". It matches the Rfam family "Bacterial small subunit ribosomal RNA", at positions 331 to 792 of the family's 1533-position model. The record is from RNAcentral.